Molecule: transfer RNA, 65 nt
Filed under: Dipodomys ordii (Ord's kangaroo rat)
Lineage: Eukaryota; Metazoa; Chordata; Mammalia; Rodentia; Heteromyidae
Rfam family: tRNA
About the family: Transfer RNA (tRNA) molecules are approximately 80 nucleotides in length.
Source: Rfam by way of RNAcentral
GGUGGCUCAGUGGUAGAGCACUUGCCUCGCAUGCAUGAGGCCGUGGGUUUGAUUCCUCAGCACCA